UGGGGAAUUUUGGUCAAUGGGCGCAAGCCUGAACCAGCCGUGCCGCGUGCAGGAUGAAGCAUCUAUGUUGUUUAAACUGCCUUUGUACGGGAAGAAACCACCCCUCGUGAGGGGUAUUGACGGUACCGUAAGAAUAAUUAUCUGCUAACUCCGUGCCAGCAGCCGCAGUAAUACGUAGGAUCCAAGCGUUAUCCGUAAUCAUUGGGUUUAAAGGGUCCGUAGGCGGUUCUGUAAGUCAGUGGUGAAAUCUCCCCGCUCAACGGGGAAACUGCCAUUGAUACUGCAGGUCUUGAAUUAUUGGUAAGUAACUAGAAUAUGUAGUGUAGCGGUGAAAUGAUUAGUGAUUACAUGGAAUACCGAUUGCGAAGGCAGGUUACUACCAAUGGAUUGACGCUGAUGGACGAAAGCGUGGGUAGCGAACA
RNAcentral lists this ribosomal RNA (422 nucleotides) under uncultured bacterium. Its description in RNAcentral is "bacterial SSU rRNA". It matches the Rfam family "Bacterial small subunit ribosomal RNA", at positions 355 to 774 of the family's 1533-position model. The record is from RNAcentral.